Molecule: non-coding RNA, 129 nt
Organism: Marchantia polymorpha subsp. ruderalis
Lineage: Eukaryota; Viridiplantae; Streptophyta; Marchantiopsida; Marchantiales; Marchantiaceae
Source: the annotation of a GenBank genome assembly
GUUCAGCGACAAUGGUAGGAGGUAGAAGAUGCCAGGCCUGCCAGUAUUGUCCGUGUCGAGCCAUCGCUGUCCAUCGCGUGUGCCCACUGCACGUCUGGCAUCUUCCGCUUCCGACCUUUGAUGCGAGAC